UGGGGGAUAUUGCACAAUGGGCGAAAGCCUGAUGCAGCGACGCCGCGUGGGGGAUGAAGGCUUUCGGGUUGUAAACCUCUUUCGCUAUCGAACAAGGCCCGCUUAGGGUGGUUUGAGGGUAGGUGGAGAAGAAGCGCCGGCUAACUACGUGCCAGCAGCCGCGGUAAUACGUAGGGCGCGAGCGUUGUCCGGAAUUAUUGGGCGUAAAUGGCUUGUAGGCGGCUUGUUGCGCCUGCUGUGAAAACGCGGGGCUUAACUUCGCGCGUGCAGUGGGUACGGGCAGGCUUGAGUGUGGUAGGGGUGACUGGAAUUCCAGGUGUAGCGGUGGAAUGCGCAGAUAUCUGGAGGAACACCGAUGGCGAAGGCAGGUCACUGGGCCAUUACUGACGCUGAGGAGCGAAAGCAUGGGUAGCGAACAGG
Molecule: ribosomal RNA, 420 nt
Filed under: Fusobacteriota bacterium
Lineage: Bacteria; Fusobacteriati; Fusobacteriota
Description: Fusobacteria bacterium partial 16S ribosomal RNA
Rfam family: Bacterial small subunit ribosomal RNA
Source: RNAcentral